Long non-coding RNA from Leptopilina boulardi, 1712 nucleotides. RefSeq lists it as uncharacterized. The record is from RefSeq and is a predicted model, not a curated record. The transcript is spliced from 3 exons. NCBI's taxonomy places the organism in Eukaryota, Metazoa, Arthropoda, Insecta, Hymenoptera, Figitidae.
ACAUCCAAUAAACGAAAGCGCUCUUCGAUAAGUUAAUUAGCAAUUUUAUUAGAUCAUUUUAUAAGCGCCACACAAUUUCCAAACGACCCAUAAACAAGGCGUGUACUCUUGUCAGCGUUAGAAAGUAGAAAUGACAUUGAUUUGCUUAAAAACAGGAUUUAUCAUAUAUAGUGUGUUUAGUGAUACAUAAGCAUAUAUGUAUAUAGCAAAUUUAUUGCUUUAAAAAAAAAUCAAAAAACACCUCAAUCUUAAACUAAUUAUUUGAAGAAAAAAAACUCGAUCAAAGAAUUUUUAGGUCUGAUUGAUUCGAUGACUUUUGUUUUGAUAAAUUUUUAUAAUUGGAUGGGUGGGCGCGCGAGAUGAGCGUGGGACAAUCAAACUGCGUCGUUUAACCUGUUCGCAUUUUGCUCUAAUGAGGAUUUGAAUUUUUUUUUUCUGAUUUAAAAAAAAUUUUCUUUUUCAGGUAGGAGGACUGAUAUUGUUCGAAUAACUAUGAAUUCAUUUUUUUCUAUCUUCUGAUGAUAAUCGAUAAACUUCAUAAAAUUAUUAAUUGAAAUCUAUAAUAUUGAAGAUGUGAGCGAGAUUGUGUGCAAAAAAAAAGUUAACGUAAAAAGAGAGGGGAAAAAAAAAACGUUGGAGCGAUUGAUCAUUUUGAUUUGAAACACAAGUCAACGUCAUUGAUAUCAUUUUCGAAUUUUCCGUUUGUUCGAGAUGGAAGAUUAUUGAAUAAUUGAACGUUUCAUAUAAAAAUAAUUAAUUAUUGUGAACAACUCUGUUUGAAUGGCGAAUUUAACAGAAAGCUUCUUCUUCUUCCGUAUAUAACCCAUACCAAUAAUAAUAUACACGUGCGCAUAAAAUUUAUCGUUGAAAUCGAUAUGUGAAUUCGAAGGCUCGCAAGAGGAGAGAAGAACAAUAGAAAUGAAACGAUAAAAAGAAUUCAGUGUCUGACGAUUUUGUGCCGUAAGAUUAUUCAGAGAUAGGAGUGACUUAUUGUGGAGUGUGCCAGGCAGUAGCCGAGAAAUUGUUCAUUUGAGAAAAAAAAAUGUUCCUUAAAGUUCUGAACGUUCACUGAAAAAAUAUCCUUUUUUUUUUUUUUGAAUGUUUCGAAUUAAAAAAAGGAGAAAAGUAUAAAUUCAAUUUAAUGGAAAAUAAAUUUAGUAGAAAAAGGAUACAAAACAAUGGUAAAAAAAAAUAUUUAUCCGAACCUUCAGAACUUCAAGUACCUUAUUUAUAUAUAAUGAUUGAGAAAAUACAGAAAGAGAAGAGAAAGAAUCAUUUUUGCAAAAUAUUCUUGAAAAAAGAGGUGAUGAACACAAAUUUUCUUCUUCUAAAAUGGUGAGAGAAUUAUAAUUUUGAUUUAAAUGACUAAUUUAUUUUUAAUAUUUUCUUAAUAUAAGUAAAUUUAAUUUAAUUUUUUUGUUAUUGAAUCGAUUCAAGAAACAAUUUUUUAAAUCUCUUCGAAACUUUGAAUCUCGAUCAACAAAGUUGACAGAAAAAUUGAAUUCAUUCGACAAAAUUUUUUUUUAAAAUCAUGGAAAAUUUUUUAAUUAAAUUUCUCUAUUUUCUUCCAAGUUUGAAUUUUGUUUAACAAUUCAUAACUCUUUGAUAUUUUUCGAAAAUCCCUGACCCGUGGCAACCCUUGAUCGAGAUUCAAAAGAAAGAAAAGACGGAGAACAUUUUGCAAAAUGAAUCUUUGAUGAUAAAAAAAAUAA